Molecule: ribosomal RNA, 460 nt
Filed under: uncultured bacterium
Lineage: Bacteria
Description: partial 16S ribosomal RNA
Rfam family: Bacterial small subunit ribosomal RNA
Source: RNAcentral
CCUACGGGAGGCUGCAGUGAGGAAUAUUGGUCAAUGGGCGCGAGCCUGAACCAGCCACGCCGCGUGAAGGAUGAUGGCCUUAGGGGUUGUAACUUCUUUUUAUAAAGGAAUAUAGUGAGGCACCUGUGCCCUUUUGUAUGGCCUCUAUGAUUACGGCUCGCCUAACUCCGUGCCAGCAGCCGGGGUAAUACGGAGGAUCCGAGCGUUAUCCGGAUUUAUUGGGUUUAAAGGGUGCGUAGGGGGGUUGUUAAGUCAGCUGUGAAAGAUUGCGGCUCAACCGUAGAAUUGCAAUUGAUACUGGCACUCUUGAGUACAGUUGAGGUAGGCGGAAUUCGUGGUGUAGCGGUGAAAUGCUUAGAUAUCACGAAGAACACCGAUUGCGAAGGCAGCUUACUAAACUGCCACUGACGCUGAUGCACGAAAGCGUGGGUAUCAAACAGGAUUAGAUACCCGGGUAGUC